CAGUCGCCACGGUAAUACAGAGGGUGCAAGCGUUAAUCGGAAUUAAUGGGCGUAAAGCGCGCGUAGGUGGUUUGUUAAGUUGGAUGUGAAAGCCCCGGGCUCAACCUGGGAACUGCAUCCAAAACUGGCAAGCUAGAGUACGGUAGAGGGUGGUGGAAUUUCCUGUGUAGCGGUGAAAUGCGUAGAUAUAGGAAGGAACACCAGUGGCGAAGGCGACCACCUGGACUGAUACUGACACUGAGGUGCGAAAGCGUGGGGAGCAAACAGGAUUAGAUACCCCAGUAGUCCCUGUCUCUUAUAC
Molecule: ribosomal RNA, 301 nt
Filed under: uncultured bacterium
Lineage: Bacteria
Description: partial 16S ribosomal RNA
Rfam family: Bacterial small subunit ribosomal RNA
Source: RNAcentral